This 606-nucleotide ribosomal RNA is filed under the name Triticum aestivum (bread wheat). Its description in RNAcentral is "partial small subunit ribosomal RNA". The record is from RNAcentral. Lineage: Eukaryota; Viridiplantae; Streptophyta; Magnoliopsida; Poales; Poaceae.
AUGAACGCUUGGCAGUCGCGUGUUGAUAAUUACUCCCUGGUUCAGUGCGGCAUGCUUUACAGCUUAGAACUGGGGCUCCAAAAGCGUUUUGAGCAGCACGGAGCAUAUGAGAUGUUCCAAGAGCUGAAAAUGGUUUUCCAAGCUCAUGCCCGGGUCGAGAGAUAUGAAGUCUCUGACAAGUUCUACAGUUGUAAGAUGGAGGAGAAUAGUUCCGUCAGCGAACACAUACUCAAAAUGUCUGGGUUGCACAACCGCUUGUCUCGGCUGGGAGUUAAUCUCCCGGAUGACGCGGUCGUUGACAGAAUCCUUCAGUCGCUUCCACCUAGCUACAAGAGCUUUGUGAUGAACUUCAAUAUGCAGGGGAUGGAGAAAUCCAUUCCUGAGGUAUAUUCGAUGCUGAAAUCAGCGGAGGUGGAGAUCAAAAAGGAACAUCAAGUGUUGAUGGUGAAUAAGACCACUAAGUUCAAGAAGGGCAAGGGUAAAAAGAGCUUCAAGAAGGACGGCAAGGGAGUUGCCGCGCCCGGUAAGCAAGCUGCCGGGAGGAAGCCAAAGAAUGGACCCAAGCCUGAGACUGAGUGCUUUUAUUGCAAGGGAAACGAUCACUGA